Molecule: long non-coding RNA, 1110 nt
Filed under: Homo sapiens (human)
Lineage: Eukaryota; Metazoa; Chordata; Mammalia; Primates; Hominidae
Description: novel transcript
Source: RNAcentral
CGGAGAUUCCCACUGUAUGGCUUCCUGCAGGAUUCAGCUGUGGAGACUGAAGCCGGAGGGCCUGGGGGGAGCCGCAGGAAGCGGGUGGGCGGGGGCCGUCUGCCCCUGGACACUCAGGACAGCCUGGCUCACCACGGGGGAGGAGAAGCCAAUGGAGACAGCGGGGACCAAGAGGGAGGGGGUGGAUGGGGAGCCUGGGGAGGAGCGGAGGGACCCAGGUCCCCUGCCUUACAGGACGACCAGCACAGGUUCCAGGUCUCCAGCCAGCUACAGGGCUUCUUAACACACAGCACUCCCUGCUUCGAGCCUUCCGGGAGGCCCCCAAUCCAGGAUCAAGACCCAGCCCCGUCACGGCCUGGCUCACGAGGCCCCACUUCAACUGCCCCUGACCUCUCUGCGCCCCCUGCUCCCGCCAGCCCUGCCGGCCGCUGCCCUGGAGAAGGAGCUGCAGAUGGAUCCCCACUCCUGGCCUUUGACCUUCACCAAUACUGUCCAGCUUGGCACUUGAGUGGGUUGCCACCAUUGUGAAUUGGGCCUUGCCUGCAUUCUCAGUAGGCUGGGUUCCAGACAUUUGAGGUCUCAGCCAUAGACUCUGCUGGGAACGUGGAGGCCGGGGAGAUUCUGUCCCACCUGGUCCCUCUGAAUGAGCCAGGCACCCCUUGGAGGAAGUGACAGGCCAGCCCCAGGCAUGCACUCCACUGGUAUGUUUAGCCCCAAAUCCUCCUCUUGCCCCAUUUACCACCUUUCUCUGGGUGCCACCCUUGGGCCAUCCUCAUCCCUGACUGAUGACUAUUCAAGACCACUUUCUCUGCCUCUAGUGGAGCGUGUCAGAACCCAGCCUGUGACCCCACCCCAUCAUCUUAGAAGCAAACUCUUUCUAGCACCUGUACCAGGUGCUGGAGCAAGCCCUGAGUUUAGUUCAUGUAAUCCUGACAACCACCCCAUAGGUCAGAUGGGGAAACCAAGGCAGGAAGCAGGCACAUACCCUGUGAGUGGCUGGACCCAGGCACUAACCCCCAGCCCCACACUCCUAGCACCCUGCUGUCUCUUGGUGACAUGUGAGUAUGUCAAUCUGAACAUGCUUGAAAUGAAUAUUUGUCAAUAAUUUUA